Vitis riparia (riverbank grape) is the source of this 1635-nucleotide RNA transcript. It is a transcript of the gene named BRCA1-A complex subunit Abraxas 1, with no coding region annotated. Lineage: Eukaryota; Viridiplantae; Streptophyta; Magnoliopsida; Vitales; Vitaceae. The transcript is spliced from 4 exons. The record is from RefSeq and is a predicted model, not a curated record.
CUAAUUUAGCUCAAAAUUUGUGGUUCGCUCCAGCCUCCAGUACUCACAUAUUACCUCCUCCGUUUCCUCUCUCUUGUCUUCUCGCUUUCUCACAAUCUGCAGUUGUGACAUGGACGACCUUCCACUGCAGAAAAUACAAAUAUCGGGGCCAACCCUAGCCUCCAUGAUCCAACGCUUCUCCACCGCUCUUGGCGACGUGGACGGUCUCCUGUUCGGCCACGUCUCCCACAUCGCUCCCUCCUCCCUCUCCGACGACGACCCGCUGGGCUCCUCCUCCGAUCCCUCCACCUUCGUCGCCACCGUCUCCGGAUUCCUCUGCUCCGGAACCAUCGACAGUUUCUACGACUCCUCCGGCCAAGUCAACGUUCUCGCCCUUCGCCGCCUCCUAGCCGACCGCGUCCCCCUUCGUUCCCUCAUUGGUUGGUUCUCCGGCCGCCGCCGAUCCCCCCUCCGCCCUUCCCUUCGGGAGUCCUCCGUCACCGCCUGUCUCUCCACCAAAGCUCAAUUCUCUUUCCCAAUCGAAAACUCCCCCUCCAAUUUCAGACCUUCUCUCUUCCUCCUAUUCGCCUCGCCAUUGUCGGAUCAAGUCAUUCACACGCAUGAGUACAAAGCGUACCAGUACUGUCUCUCUUCUCAGACUCUCGAGCCCAAAUCAAUCGACAUCGUCAACAUUGGACCCGCAUUCCGCGGCCAUUACGGUUCGUUUAGCCCUAGCUCUCCCUUCCCUUCGUUGGCCUGUGAUUUGAGGGGUUCGCCAAUGGCGGAGGACGACACCGAUGCGACGCGAGUCUCCAAGGCUCAGGCUCAGCGCGAAUUGGAUACUUGCGCGGAGGGUGUCCAGAUUGGGAGUCUACGUCGGUUGAUGGGCUCUGAAGCCACGAAUUAUACAGCCGGAUUGGAGGAUUUGUACGAGAAGAUGCUAGCCAAGCUGGACAGCUUGGCUCGCCUUGUGGAGAAGACUUCAGCCAAGGUUCAUGAGCAGGAAAGUCACAAUGUGAAGUUAAGCUUUUCACUACCACCUGAUUGUUGGAGCCUCUUCAUGAAGUAAUGGAUCCAAUUGCUGUACUCUGUUAUGACUUCUCAAUAUCCUCUUUGGCUUUGUCAAGAGCCAAAUUCAGGAGAAACACAUGAUGUAGAACAAGAGCUCCUUAUUGAUCUUCUCUUCUUUCACAGUUGAAAACAGGACGAUGACCCAUCAAAUCUUGCUGUUGACCAUUGUAAAAAUAUCCAAUGAGCAUGGAAUUACAUUUGAUUAUUCAUGCUGUUCUAUCUUUUGGUGGCUUUUGAGCUGAUCAUGGAACUGCUACUGCUAGUUCUUGGGAUUGGAAUUCUUUUGGUUAUUUAAAUGAUAGGGAUGGGUUGAUGCUACCUUCUGUUUUGGGUAUAUGCACACUAGGUAACUUAUCCCUUAAUGUGUAUUCUUGUAUUUUGCCUCGUUAUAUUUCUGCUUCCCACCCAUGGUCACAUAUAUGUAUCUUUUCUGAAGUUCAUUUAGGUUUUUUGUCAACUCAACAGUGCCUACUUUUUCGUAUCCACGGUUGUGUUCCCAACAGUUAGCAUGAAGCUAUCAAACUGCUUGGGAUUUGUAAGGUUCGUGGCCCUAUAUUUUCUAUAGGUGUAAUUGAGCUUCACUAA